GAUCCUGGCUCAGGAUGAACGCUGGCGGCGUGCUUAACACAUGCAAGUCGAACGAAGCACUUUAAUUGAUUUCUUCGGAAUGAAGUUUUUGUGACUGAGUGGCGGACGGGUGAGUAACGCGUGGGUAACCUGCCUCAUACAGGGGGAUAACAGUUAGAAAUGACUGCUAAUACCGCAUAAGACCACGGAGCCGCAUGGCUCAGUGGGAAAAACUCCGGUGGUAUGAGAUGGACCCGCGU
Molecule: ribosomal RNA, 239 nt
Filed under: uncultured bacterium
Lineage: Bacteria
Description: partial 16S ribosomal RNA
Rfam family: Bacterial small subunit ribosomal RNA
Source: RNAcentral